CGGGUGAGUAACGCGUGAGUAACCUGCCUCAUACAACGGGAUACCUGAGGGAAACUUCAGUUAAUACGGUAUAAGACCACACUGCCGCAUGGCAGAGGGGUAAAAGGAGCAAUCCGGUAUGAGAUGGACUCGCGUCGCAUUAGCUAGUUGGUGAGGUAACGGCCCACCAAGGCGACGAUGCGUAGCCGACCUGAGAGGGUGAUCGGCCACAUUGGGACUGAGAUACGGCCCAGACUCCUACGGAAGGCAGCAG
RNAcentral lists this ribosomal RNA (253 nucleotides) under uncultured bacterium. RNAcentral's name for it is "partial 16S ribosomal RNA". It matches the Rfam family "Bacterial small subunit ribosomal RNA", at positions 103 to 354 of the family's 1533-position model. The record is from RNAcentral.